This is a long non-coding RNA of Solanum pennellii, 860 nucleotides long. RefSeq lists it as uncharacterized. NCBI's taxonomy places the organism in Eukaryota, Viridiplantae, Streptophyta, Magnoliopsida, Solanales, Solanaceae. The record is from RefSeq and is a predicted model, not a curated record. The transcript is spliced from 2 exons.
AUUCUAACCCAUUCUUCUCCCUCCUCUUCCUCUCCAGCCGCCUCCCCUCCCUCCUCUCUCUCCCUUCCUCCUCUUCUCCCUCUCGUCUUCCUCCUCUUCCUCUCCAGUCAUUCCUCUCUCCCAACACCGCCCAACACCGCCCGUCUCUCCUUCUCCCUUUUUCUCUCCUCUUCUCCUCUCCUCCCUCCUCCCUUCUUCUCCUCCGCCUCCACCACUCUCUCCAGCGCCUCCCGCCAGCCGCACAACAGUGACCGGCGAGCUGCCAGGCAGCAGCAAACCAGCAGCCAGAAGCUGCGACCAGCAGCCUCAACACCGCCCGUCUCUCCUCUCUUCCCUAUUUCCUUCUCUCCUCUUCUCAUCUCCGGCUAAGAACAAGAAACAAAAGCAGCAAGCUUUAGCGAAGAAAACGCCAGCCAGCAACAGUUCCGAUUCCGGCAGAAAGCUUGACCAAGCGGGCUCCGACGAAUCUCGGAAUUUGGAUUGUUAAAAGACGGAUCUCAACAGACCCGUCUCUGUUAUUUGAUUGCUUUGACAAGUUUCAAACUUGAAGUUCAAGUUGAAGAUUAGCCAUGAAGAAAGAUUUAUUUGUUUAAUUCAUAUAUUUGAAUCUAUAUUUUUCUUAUUUAUUUAUUUGAAUUUUUGUAAUAUUUGUAUAACUCUAAAGCUCUCAUAUGUAAAUUUAUUUGGGAGAUCGUCUAAGGGAAGGAGAUUUACAUGCUACUUGUUCAUUGUAAUUUUUUAAAGUUAUAAAUCAUGCCUAUAGGUUUAUUCUAUUUUUAAAUCUUUAACCACCUAGAAUUAUUGUUUGUAGGUGUUGUAAUCUAACCAAUUUUCAACAUGCUUGACGCUUUGUUUGUUUA